RNAcentral lists this long non-coding RNA (1640 nucleotides) under Homo sapiens (human). Its description in RNAcentral is "HSALNT0162429". Lineage: Eukaryota; Metazoa; Chordata; Mammalia; Primates; Hominidae. The record is from RNAcentral.
AAAGUGUGGAAAAUGUUCAGGUCCAAGGGGAGAAUGUGGACAAUCUCAUGUCAGAUGGCCCCAGUCUUUUCAGUAAGUCACCCUCAGAGUCACCUGCUGAUGAGUAGGAUGAAGCUCAGACAGAAGUGGAAAUGGAUUGGCAUGAACACGGGGAGGACGGAGAUGGUGACCAGGCGGAGAGGAACAGUGGAGAUGGUGGCUGCCUUUGCAGGUACAAUGAGCUUAUGAACAGCUCUGGCCCAGGUGGAGGAAGAGACAAAUCUGGCGCUCAGAGAAAAAGCAGCAGUGAGUUGGGGCCAGAAUCACUGAUCCACUGAGACAGGCCGUGGAGACAGAGGCACACAUGGAGCCUGCAGGAAGAAGAGCAGGAGGAGUCAGACACAGGGCAAGGUCGCCCAAGGCAAAGCUUGUAGACACUGAGCACCUACGGCCUUUCUUCUCGUGGCAACACAUUCCAGUUGCUGACAAAGUUCUAGGAAGAAACGAAUGAUCUCUCCGGCACCCAGCUGAAAAAGGAAGUGCAAAGUUUGGGAAAGGGGCCCAUUCUUGGGUGAUUUAUCUACCAUUGAAGAAGGGGCCUUAAGGAGGGCACAUCCUUUGUCCUGGCUCCUUCCACAUCACAGGGGGCAGGAGAGCCUCUGGAUGUGUCCAGUUGCAAAGCAGCUGAGGCUGGCGAUCUUCCCGUGAUUUCUCACUCAAGUAUUUGCCCUAACCAACAAGAUGGCUUUAAUCCAUAAAUGGCCCACAAUGGGUUUGUCUCACAUGCACUCGGUGCUGCCUGGGCUCCUGUUGGGUCAUGAGGUGAGAACACGGUGCCCUGCCCCCUCGCCCUGCUGCAGUGCCACACGCAUAGCCACCCUGCCCACCCUCCUUGCUCCUUCCCACCCUCCGCCUGCCCACCUGUCAGAGAAACUCUGCCUCCCCAUGUCUCUCGGCUCCUGCGGUGGCCUCCCUUCUCCCUAACUCUUCUGUUACACAAACUGAGGCUGGACCUGAAAGCACACAACAACAAUGCCAUUUAUCCCCAUCGUUCAAUCAGUCAUUCAUCUCUCCCACUACUCACGGGACCCUGGGCAAGUGACUUAACCUGUUUGUUAACAUGGAAUGAUUGUGAGAAUUAAAUGAACAAAUACAUGGCCAUCCAUGGCAUAUUUUACAUGUUCAAUAUGAGUUCAUUGUUAUCACUAUUGAUGUUUUCAUUAUAGUCUAUGUUAUCACUUAUCCAAACAUUUACUGAAAUCAGCUGUGUGUCAGGUACACUCUACAGAGUAUGGGAGGAAGAACGGCCAAGGAGGCCCAUGUUUCAGCAGCUCCGCACUGGAAUGGUCUGAACACCGCCCCUCUGUCUGUACUUCAAUGGGCCACUUCCUGUAAAGAAAAAAAUUCUUAUCCAAUAAAGCAUUUCUUUGCAGAAGUCUAGAAAUCCUUUGUAUUCUCUUGGGUCAUGACCUCUCUGUCAAUAUGAUUUCUUCCCCUGGGUUAAAGGACUCUGCCAAACAUGGGGAGCAGGCCAUAAUGAGAGAUGGGGUGGUAUGCAUUGUCUGGGAUGCUUUUCUUUGCCUUUGUCAAGUUGCAGAGAAGAAAGGCCUUCCGAGAACAGGGACAAGGCAGUCCCCUAUCCCACAAUGCAGACAUGACGC